AAAAAUUGGAAUCGAAAAGUCGUGCUGCGCGUGGUGCACAUUUUUGCAUAUCUUGUGAAUAAUAUUGUGUUUUUUGGAUUUCCUCGGGUAAAAAAGACCUGGGUACCACCCACGACGCCAACAGUGGUUACGCCAAGGACAGCAUCCCCUGCCCCGAGAAGAUAUCCGAUUGCGCUAAAAUUUUGCCGAGAUAUGUACGUUAGAUGACAAUGCAAUAUUUUGGUGGCAGUGAGCUGAUCUGAUGAAUGAAGGAAGGUGAUCACUGGAACUUGAUGAAGGAACAACGUAAACUUAUUGAAUUUGGGUUCAUCUGUUUGUCUUGACGAGCAUUUUUAUAAAAGCAUGCUUUAAAAAUAUAUUUUUU
Molecule: long non-coding RNA, 364 nt
Organism: Pectinophora gossypiella (pink bollworm)
Lineage: Eukaryota; Metazoa; Arthropoda; Insecta; Lepidoptera; Gelechiidae
Exons: 2
Source: RefSeq, a predicted model, not a curated record